AUUGAACGCUGGCGGCAGGCCUAACACAUGCAAGUCGAACGAGUGGCGGACGGGUGAGUAAUGUCCGGGAAACUGCCUGAUGGAGGGGGAUAACUACUGGAAACGGUAGCUAAUACCGCAUACCAUCAGAUGUGCCCAGAUGGGAUUAGCUGGGUGGUGGGGUAACGGCUCACAAAGGCGACGAUCCCUAGCUGGUCUGAGAGGAUGACCAGCCACACUGGAACGAAGACAAGGUCCAGACUCCUACGGGAGGCAGCAGUGGGGAAUAUUGCGCAAUGGGAGAAAGCCUGAUGCAGCCAUGCAGCGUGGAUGAAGAAGGCCAUCGGGUUGUAAAGUACUUUCAGCGGGGAGGCGUUACCCGCAGAAGAAGCACCGGCUAACUCCGUGCCAGCCGCCGCGGUAAUUC
Molecule: ribosomal RNA, 406 nt
Filed under: uncultured bacterium
Lineage: Bacteria
Description: partial 16S ribosomal RNA
Rfam family: Bacterial small subunit ribosomal RNA
Source: RNAcentral